CUGUCCAACGUUAAUCGGGGCAGGGUGAGUCGACCCCUAAGGCGAGGCCGAAAGGCGUAGUCGAUGGGAAACAGGUUAAUAUUCCUGUACUUGGUGUUAGUGCGAAGGGGGGACGGAGAAGGCUAUGUUAGCCGGGCGACGGUUGUCCCGGUUUAAGCAUGUAGGCUGGUUAUCCAGGCAAAUCCGGAUAAUCGAGGCUGAGGUGUGAUGACGAGGCACUACGGUGCUGAAGUAACAAAUGACCUGCUUCCAGGAAAAGCCUCUAAGCAUCAGGUAACAUUAAAUCGUACCCCAAACCGACACAGGUGGUCAGGUAGAGAAUACCAAGGCGCUUGAGAGAAUGUGUAGGUGAAGUCCCUGCGGAUGGAGCUGAGACCAGUCGAAGAUACCAGCUGGCUGCAACUGUUUAUUAAAAACACAGCACUGUGCAAACACGAAAGUGGACGUAUACGGUGUGACGCCUGCCCGGUGCCGGAAGGUUAAUUGAUGGGGUUAUCCGUAAGGAGAAGCUCUUGAUCGAAGCCCCGGUAAACGGCGGCCGUAACUAUAACGGUCCUAAGGUAGCGAAAUUCCUUGUCGGGUAAGUUCCGACCUGCACGAAUGGCGUAAUGAUGGCCAGGCUGUCUCCACCCGAGACUCAGUGAAAUUGAACUCGCUGUGAAGAUGCAGUGUACCCGCGGCAAGACGGAAAGAACAUUGAGCCUUGAUGUGAAGGAUAGGUGGGAGGCUUUGAAGCGUGGACGCCAGUCUGCGUUGAGCCAACCUUGAAAUACCUCCCUUUAAUGUUUGAUGUUCUAACGUUGGCCCCUGACCGGGGUUGCGGACAGUGUCUGGUGGGUAGUUUGACUGGGGCGGUCUCCUCCCAAAGCGUAACGUUUGACUGGGGCGGUCUCCUCCCAAAGAGUAACGGAGGAGCACGAAGGUUAGCUAAUCCUGGUCGGACAUCAGGAGGUUAGUGCAAUGGCAUAAGCUAGCUUGACUGCGAGCGUGACGGCGCGAGCAUGGUUCUGAAUGGAAGGGCCAUCGCUCAACGGAUAAAAGGUACUCCGGGGAUAACAGGCUGAUACCGCCCAAGAGUUCAUAUCGACGGCGGUGUUUGGCACCUCGAUGUCGGCUCAUCACAUCCUGGGGCUGAAGUAGGUCCCAAGGGUAUGGCUGUUCGCCAUUUAAAGUGGUACGCGAGCUGGGUUUAGAACGUCGUGAGACAGUUCGGUCCCUAUCUGCCGUGGGCGCUGGAGAAUUGAGGGGGGCUGCUCCUAGUACGAGAGGACCGGAGUGGACGCAUCACUGGUGUUCGGGUUGUCAUGCCAAUGGCACUGCCCGGUAGCUAAAUGCGGAAGAGAUAAGUGCUGAAAGCAUCUAAGCACGAAACUUGCCCCGAGAUGAGUUCUCCCUGAGACUUUAAGUCUCCUGAAGGAACGUUAAAGACGAUGACGUUGAUAGGCCGGGUGUGUAAGCGCAGCGAUGCGUUGAGCUAACCGGUACUAAUGAACCGUGAGGCUUAACCUUACAACGCCGAAG
RNAcentral lists this ribosomal RNA (1521 nucleotides) under Klebsiella pneumoniae. RNAcentral's name for it is "partial 23S ribosomal RNA". It matches the Rfam family "Bacterial large subunit ribosomal RNA", at positions 1355 to 2925 of the family's 2925-position model. The record is from RNAcentral. Lineage: Bacteria; Pseudomonadati; Pseudomonadota; Gammaproteobacteria; Enterobacterales; Enterobacteriaceae.